CCGCCGGCGGAGCCUGCGGGCUCGCCGCCACGGCCCCCUGGGGCUCCUGCGCUGUGGCUGCCGGAUGGCCUCCCUCCGGAGCUCUCCUCUGCCCUUUUCUGGGUGAGGGCUGCUAUUCUCCCUGCAGUGGUCCUCCGGGGGCUCCCAUGCCCUGGGGGGCCUCUGGAUGUCUGGGGUCCGGGCCUCCUCCGUGUCUGCUUCAUGUCCUGAGGGAUGGGGCUGUGGCUCCCCACACACACUUCUAGACAUUUACAUGGAGAAACCAUUUGAAGACCAGCGCGCUCACACACACAGGUGUGCACACAGGGGUACAAACAGGUUCUCACAGACACAAACAGGAGUACAAACAGGUUCUCACAGACACACACAGGUGUACAAACAGGUUCUCACAGACACAAACAGGAGUACAAACAGGUUCUCACAGACACAAACAGGAGUACAAACAGGUUCUCACAGACACACACAGGUGUACAAACAGGUUCUCACAGACACACACAGGUGUACAAACAGGUUCUCACAGACACAAACAGGAGUACAAACAGGUUCUCACAGACACAUACAGGAGUACAAACAGGUUCUCACAGACACACACAGGUGUACAAACAGGUUCUCACAGACACAAACAGGAGUACAAACAGGUUCUCACAGACACAAACAGGAGUACACACAGGUUCUCACAGACACACGCAGGUG
Long non-coding RNA from Brienomyrus brachyistius, 693 nucleotides. RefSeq lists it as uncharacterized. The transcript is spliced from 4 exons. The record is from RefSeq and is a predicted model, not a curated record. Lineage: Eukaryota; Metazoa; Chordata; Actinopteri; Osteoglossiformes; Mormyridae.